RNAcentral lists this ribosomal RNA (501 nucleotides) under uncultured bacterium. RNAcentral describes it as "bacterial SSU rRNA". It matches the Rfam family "Bacterial small subunit ribosomal RNA", at positions 28 to 507 of the family's 1533-position model. The record is from RNAcentral.
GGCUAACGCUGGCGGCGUGUCUUAGCCAUGCAAGUCGAGCGGACUUAUGGGGUAACUUAUAAGUCAGCGGCGGACGGCGGAGUAACACGUAGCUAACCUACCCUCUGGACGGGGAUAACCUACCGAAAGGUGGGCUAAUACCCGAUGUAGUCAUCCUGUAUAGGGGUGAUGAAAGGUGGGCUUCCCCUGUUUACAAGCUCAUGCUGGAGGAGGGGGCUGCGGCCUAUCAGGUAGUUGGUAGGGUAAUAGCCUACCAAGCCGAUGACGGGUAGCCGGCCUGAGAGGGUGACCGGCCCGAGGGGCACUGAGAUACGGGUCCCACUCCUACGGGAGGCAGCAGGCUAGAAAUUUGGGCAAUGGGGGAAACCCUGACCCAGUGACGCCGCGUGCAGGAAGGAGCCCUUCGGGGUGUAAACUGCUGUCGUGUAGGGAGAAGGGUACUAAGGUGAACAAUCUUAGUACUUGACGGUACUACAGGAGGAAGCCCAGGCUAACCUCGUG